CACUGGCUGGCAUCUCCCGCUUAAUUCUCCGUCUCGCCACUUUGCGUCAACUUGCUGCCACUGCCAGAAGUUUUUUAGCUUCGGAAGGAAAUAAGAGACCUGAACUUUUGCAACAAAGUAUAAUGAGUGUAAAAGUUAGGAAAUGGCCUCUGGUGUGCCCAAGAAACAUGUGCCCGCACUUCUGCGUCGUACCUGAAACGACAAUCAUGGCGGAUGAUUCAAGCAUGGGAAGAGAUGCUUGUUCUUCAAUUAAUGGACGUUAAAUUUUGCCGAGAUUUGCAUUAUUUUACUUUGGCUCACAAAGUCCCAGUUAAAAAACUGAAGUCAAGUUGAAGGUAUUUGAUGAAGGCAGGCGUGAAGUUUUUCACCCAGCUGUUCAACGGCAGAUAAUAAAGCAAAUCUUUUUUCAUCCGAAGGGAUUCUGCUCAUCUCCAUGGUGUUUCUUCGAGGUGAGCCAUAAUUUUGCUGGCGAAAAUUCUGCGAAAUUUAAGUUAAAUUUCAAAUUUAUACUUGCACAAGACUUUGGAUAAAAUUAUUUUUUCAUCACGUCGUUGUCGUUUUUAAUAUAUUUUUUUAGUCAAAUGUUUUUAUAGUUCAAUGAAAGACCUCUUCAAUACAUCAUUUUAAUAUUUUUAGUUUUUAAUAUACCUCAUCAUCUCUGUAAUUUAGGCAAGGCCGUGUCAUAUUUGCCUGAUUUAUCGCUUGUGAGUGUCAAGUACUGUAUUUAAAGCGAAGCAGUGCAAAAUUUGAAAUUAUCAAAAUUAUUUUUAAAAAAAAUGAAAAUUUCACUCCCGUUUCUAAAGGAACUGCAAUCUGUUAACACGGGCGGCACAUCCGCCCACUAAAAAAAUUCCUAAACCUUUUCUGCUCAGGAAAAAAAAUAAUCACUGAAUGCUAAUAAAACAGUACGUUUGAAUUGAAUAUUAUUAAUUUUUAUUAAAAGUUUAGUUUAAAUCUAACUUUACACUCAUUCAUUCAAGCCAUUUUUUCGCUUGAAGAGACAAAAAAAGGUGUACAAGGCCACGCAGUGAAAUGUAUUUCGUGAAUGAUACGUUACAAAUAAGUUUGAACGUUUUAAAAAAAUUUAUCAAUUUC
Belonocnema kinseyi is the source of this 1095-nucleotide long non-coding RNA. RefSeq lists it as uncharacterized. The transcript is spliced from 3 exons. The record is from RefSeq and is a predicted model, not a curated record. Lineage: Eukaryota; Metazoa; Arthropoda; Insecta; Hymenoptera; Cynipidae.